RNAcentral lists this ribosomal RNA (468 nucleotides) under uncultured bacterium. RNAcentral's name for it is "partial 16S ribosomal RNA". It matches the Rfam family "Bacterial small subunit ribosomal RNA", at positions 28 to 507 of the family's 1533-position model. The record is from RNAcentral.
GACGAACGCUGGCGGCGUGCUUAACACAUGCAAGUCGAACGGAAAGGCCCUGCUUUUGUGGGGUGCUCGAGUGGCGAACGGGUGAGUAACACGUGAGUAACCUGCCCUUGACUUUGGGAUAACUUCAGGAAACUGGGGCUAAUACCGGAUAGGAGCUCCUGCUGCAUGGUGGGGGUUGGAAAGUUUCGGCGGUUGGGGAUGGACUCGCGGCUUAUCAGCUUGUUGGUGGGGUAGUGGCUUACCAAGGCUUUGACGGGUAGCCGGCCUGAGAGGGGGACCGGCCAAAUUGGGACUGAGAUACGGCCCAGACCCCUACGGGAGGCAGAAGUGGGGAAUAUUGCACAAUGGGCGGAAGCCUGAUGCAGCAACGCCGCGUGCGGGAUGACGGCCUUCGGGUUGUAAACCGCUUUCGCCUGUGACGAAGCGUGAGUGACGGUAAUGGGUAAAGAAGCACCGGCUAACUACGUG